This 254-nucleotide ribosomal RNA is filed under the name uncultured bacterium. RNAcentral describes it as "partial 16S ribosomal RNA". It matches the Rfam family "Bacterial small subunit ribosomal RNA", at positions 524 to 776 of the family's 1533-position model. The record is from RNAcentral.
UACGUAGGGGGCAAGCGUUGUCCGGAUUUAUUGGGCGUAAAGAGCUCGUAGGCGGUUUGGUAAGUCUGGUGUGAAAUCUCCACGCUCAACGUGGAGGGGCCACCCGAUACUGCCAUGACUGGAGUCCGGUAGAGGAGUGUGGAAUUCCCGGUGUAGCGGUGAAAUGCGCAGAUAUCAGGAGGAACACCGGUGGCGAAGGCGCCACUCUGGGCCGAGACUGACGCUGAGGAGCGAAAGCGUGGGUAGCAAACAGG